AGUGAACGCUGGCGGUAGGCCUAACACAUGCAAGUCGAACGGCAGCGCAGUAAGAGCUUGCUCUUACGGGUGGCGAGUGGCGGACGGGUGAGGAAUACAUCGGAAUCUACUUUUUCGUGGGGGAUAACGUAGGGAAACUUACGCUAAUACCGCAUACGACCUACGGGUGAAAGCAGGGGAUCUUCGGACCUUGCGCGAUUGAAUGAGCCGAUGUCGGAUUAGCUAGUUGGCGGGGUAAAGGCCCACCAAGGCGACGAUCCGUAGCUGGUCUGAGAGGAUGUUCAGCAACACUGGAACGGGGACACGGUCCAGACUCCAACGGGAGGCAGCAGUGGGGAAUAUUGGACAAUGGGCGCAAGCCUGAUCCAGCCAUACGGCGUGGGUGAAGAAGGCCUUCGGGUUGUAAAGCCCUUUUGUUGGGAAAGAAAAGCAGCAGGUUAAUACCCCGCUGUUCUGACGGUACCCAAAGAAUAAGCACCGGCUAACUUCGU
RNAcentral lists this ribosomal RNA (491 nucleotides) under uncultured bacterium. RNAcentral's name for it is "partial 16S ribosomal RNA". It matches the Rfam family "Bacterial small subunit ribosomal RNA", at positions 29 to 506 of the family's 1533-position model. The record is from RNAcentral.